This 320-nucleotide long non-coding RNA is filed under the name Oncorhynchus kisutch (coho salmon). Its description in RNAcentral is "lncRNA (ENSOKIG00005047884.1)". The record is from RNAcentral. Lineage: Eukaryota; Metazoa; Chordata; Actinopteri; Salmoniformes; Salmonidae.
CUCAUUUUAGAAACAACUGUCCUGGAUGAGGUCCAGUUGGAUGUGCCAUUGGAUGAUGUGCUAGAUGUUCCACAGCUGCCAGUCCUCCUUGAUGUCCAGAAUGCUGCUAUCAUCCUUGAGGAUGUGCCAGAUGUGCAGACUAUCCUUGAGGAGGCCACUGGCAAUUGGCAGUUGAUUCUGAUUAGGUUCAGCCCCCUGUACUGUGGGCCUGUUGUGAUCAGGAACAAUGCCGGUCCGGUGGUUAAAGCUUGGAGAACUUUCCAGUUCAUCAGCCCCAUCAUCACCUACAUGCGUGGGGGAUCCCAGGUAUGUGUCUUUGU